AUUGAACGCUGGCGGCAUGCCUUACACAUGCAAGUCGAACGGCAGCACGGGAGCAAUCCUGGUGGCGAGUGGCGAACGGGUGAGUAAUAUAUCGGAACGUGCCCAGUCGUGGGGAUAACGUAGCGAAAGCUACGCUAAUACCGCAUACGAUCUACGGAUGAAAGCGGGGGAUCGCAAGACCUCGCGCGAUUGGAGCGGCCGAUAUCAGAUUAGGUAGUUGGUGAGGUAAAGGCUCACCAAGCCGACGAUCUGUAGCUGGUCUGAGAGGACGACCAGCCACACUGGGACUGAGACACGGCCCAGACUCCUACGGGAGGCAGCAGUGGGGAAUUUUGGACAAUGGGCGCAAGCCUGAUCCAGCAAAUGCCGCGUGCAGGAUGAAGGCCU
This 387-nucleotide ribosomal RNA is filed under the name uncultured bacterium. RNAcentral's name for it is "bacterial SSU rRNA". It matches the Rfam family "Bacterial small subunit ribosomal RNA", at positions 30 to 417 of the family's 1533-position model. The record is from RNAcentral.